GAGACUCUCUGGAGGAACCAUCAUCAACAUAUGUUGGCGAGUCGAGAUUCCAGGUAUGAUUUUGCUCUCUCUCAAAAGCCCCUCUUGUUCCUUCAUUGUUUCUGUCAACCUGCAUUGUGUAUAGUUUUGGGGGGUUAAUCAACAAAUGCGUGUCAAAUUAUUUCCCCCUUUUUUCUCUUAAAUUGUUCAUUAGAAAACAUUUUCUCUUACCUGAUCCAAGAGAAUGUCAUCAAAGAGGGUUGGCUUCCAUGGAUCCAAGAGAAUAUCAUGAAAAGUUGUUGUUUGUGCAUCCAGAUCCUCCAAUUGCACUGGAGAAUUGUCUUGGUCUUCAACAAAGUCACCCAACAUGCAUAAAU
RNAcentral lists this long non-coding RNA (356 nucleotides) under Hordeum vulgare. RNAcentral's name for it is "long non-coding RNA (HVUL_LNC007834)". Lineage: Eukaryota; Viridiplantae; Streptophyta; Magnoliopsida; Poales; Poaceae. The record is from RNAcentral.